Molecule: ribosomal RNA, 498 nt
Filed under: uncultured bacterium
Lineage: Bacteria
Description: partial 16S ribosomal RNA
Rfam family: Bacterial small subunit ribosomal RNA
Source: RNAcentral
AUUGAACGCUGGCGGCAUGCUUUACACAUGCAAGUCGAACGGCAGCGCGGGGCAACCUGGCGGCGAGUGGCGAACGGGUGAGUAAUAUAUCGGAACGUACCCAAGAGUGGGGGAUAACGUAGCGAAAGUUACGCUAAUACCGCAUACGAUCUAUGGAUGAAAGCAGGGGACCUUCGGGCCUUGUGCUCCUGGAGCGGCCGAUAUCUGAUUAGCUAGUUGGUGAGGUAAAGGCUCACCAAGGCGACGAUCAGUAGCUGGUCUGAGAGGACGACCAGCCACACUGGAACUGAGACACGGUCCAGACUCCUACGGGAGGCAGCAGUGGGGAAUUUUGGACAAUGGGCGCAAGCCUGAUCCAGCAAUGCCGCGUGAGUGAAGAAGGCCUUCGGGUUGUAAAGCUCUUUUGUCAGGGAAGAAACGGUUGGGGCUAAUAUCCCCGGCUAAUGACGGUACCUGAAGAAUAAGCACCGGCUAACUACGUGCCAGCCGCCGCCGUAA